RNAcentral lists this ribosomal RNA (491 nucleotides) under uncultured bacterium. RNAcentral's name for it is "bacterial SSU rRNA". It matches the Rfam family "Bacterial small subunit ribosomal RNA", at positions 501 to 989 of the family's 1533-position model. The record is from RNAcentral.
CUACGUGCCAGCAGCCGCGGUAAUACGUAGGGCGCGAGCGUUGUCCGGAAUUAUUGGGCGUAAAGAGCUUGUAGGCGGUUUGUCGCGUCUGCUGUGAAAGGCCGGGGCUUAACUCCGUGUAUUGCAGUGGGUACGGGCAGACUAGAGUGCAGUAGGGGAGACUGGAAUUCCUGGUGUAGCGGUGGAAUGCGCAGAUAUCAGGAAGAACACCGGUGGCGAAGGCGGGUCUCUGGGCCGUUACUGACGCUGAGGAGCGAAAGCGUGGGGAGCGAACAGGAUUAGAUACCCUGGUAGUCCACGCUGUAAACGUUGGGCACUAGGUGUGGGGGCCACCCGUGGUUUCUGCGCCGUAGCUAACGCUUUAAGUGCCCCGCCUGGGGAGUACGGCCGCAAGGCUAAAACUCAAAGGAAUUGACGGGGGCCCGCACAAGCGGCGGAGCAUGCGGAUUAAUUCGAUGCAACGCGAAGAACCUUACCAAGGCUUGACAUGC